This 2923-nucleotide ribosomal RNA is filed under the name Klebsiella pneumoniae. Its description in RNAcentral is "23S ribosomal RNA". It matches the Rfam family "Bacterial large subunit ribosomal RNA". The record is from RNAcentral. Lineage: Bacteria; Pseudomonadati; Pseudomonadota; Gammaproteobacteria; Enterobacterales; Enterobacteriaceae.
GGGUUGUGAGGUUAAGCGACUAAGCGUACACGGUGGAUGCCCUGGCAGUCAGAGGCGAUGAAGGACGUGCUAAUCUGCGAAAAGCGUCGGUAAGGUGAUAUGAACCGUUAUAGCCGGCGAUGUCCGAAUGGGGAAACCCAGUGUGAUUCGUCACACUAUCGUUAACUGAAUACAUAGGUUAACGAGGCGAACCGGGGGAACUGAAACAUCUAAGUACCCCGAGGAAAAGAAAUCAACCGAGAUUCCCCCAGUAGCGGCGAGCGAACGGGGAGCAGCCCAGAGUCUGAAUCAGCUUGUGUGUUAGUGGAACGGUCUGGAAAGUCCGACGGUACAGGGUGAUAGUCCCGUACACCAAAAUGCACAGGUUGUGAACUCGAAGAGUAGGGCGGGACACGUGGUAUCCUGUCUGAAUAUGGGGGGACCAUCCUCCAAGGCUAAAUACUCCUGACUGACCGAUAGUGAACCAGUACCGUGAGGGAAAGGCGAAAAGAACCCCGGCGAGGGGAGUGAAAAAGAACCUGAAACCGUGUACGUACAAGCAGUGGGAGCACCUUCGGGUGUGACUGCGUACCUUUUGUAUAAUGGGUCAGCGACUUAUAUUCUGUAGCAAGGUUAACCGUAUAGGGGAGCCGCAGGGAAACCGAGUCUUAACUGGGCGUUAAGUUGCAGGGUAUAGACCCGAAACCCGGUGAUCUAGCCAUGGGCAGGUUGAAGGUUGGGUAACACUAACUGGAGGACCGAACCGACUAAUGUUGAAAAAUUAGCGGAUGACUUGUGGCUGGGGGUGAAAGGCCAAUCAAACCGGGAGAUAGCUGGUUCUCCCCGAAAGCUAUUUAGGUAGCGCCUCGUGAACUCAUCUUCGGGGGUAGAGCACUGUUUCGGCUAGGGGGUCAUCCCGACUUACCAACCCGAUGCAAACUACGAAUACCGAAGAAUGUUAUCACGGGAGACACACGGCGGGUGCUAACGUCCGUCGUGAAGAGGGAAACAACCCAGACCGCCAGCUAAGGUCCCAAAGUCAUGGUUAAGUGGGAAACGAUGUGGGAAGGCACAGACAGCCAGGAUGUUGGCUUAGAAGCAGCCAUCAUUUAAAGAAAGCGUAAUAGCUCACUGGUCGAGUCGGCCUGCGCGGAAGAUGUAACGGGGCUAAACCAUGCACCGAAGCUGCGGCAGCGACACUAUGUGUUGUUGGGUAGGGGAGCGUUCUGUAAGCCUGCGAAGGUGUGCUGUGAGGCAUGCUGGAGGUAUCAGAAGUGCGAAUGCUGACAUAAGUAACGAUAAAGCGGGUGAAAAGCCCGCUCGCCGGAAGACCAAGGGUUCCUGUCCAACGUUAAUCGGGGCAGGGUGAGUCGACCCCUAAGGCGAGGCCGAAAGGCGUAGUCGAUGGGAAACAGGUUAAUAUUCCUGUACUUGGUGUUACUGCGAAGGGGGGACGGAGAAGGCUAUGUUAGCCGGGCGACGGUUGUCCCGGUUUAAGCAUGUAGGCUGAUUGUCCAGGCAAAUCCGGAUAAUCAAGGCUGAGGUGUGAUGACGAGGCACUACGGUGCUGAAGUAACAAAUGCCCUGCUUCCAGGAAAAGCCUCUAAGCAUCAGGUAACAUCAAAUCGUACCCCAAACCGACACAGGUGGUCAGGUAGAGAAUACCAAGGCGCUUGAGAGAACUCGGGUGAAGGAACUAGGCAAAAUGGUGCCGUAACUUCGGGAGAAGGCACGCUGGUGUGUAGGUGAAGCCCCUGCGGGUGGAGCUGAGACCAGUCGAAGAUACCAGCUGGCUGCAACUGUUUAUUAAAAACACAGCACUGUGCAAACACGAAAGUGGACGUAUACGGUGUGACGCCUGCCCGGUGCCGGAAGGUUAAUUGAUGGGGUUAUCCGUAAGGAGAAGCUCUUGAUCGAAGCCCCGGUAAACGGCGGCCGUAACUAUAACGGUCCUAAGGUAGCGAAAUUCCUUGUCGGGUAAGUUCCGACCUGCACGAAUGGCGUAAUGAUGGCCAGGCUGUCUCCACCCGAGACUCAGUGAAAUUGAACUCGCUGUGAAGAUGCAGUGUACCCGCGGCAAGACGGAAAGACCCCGUGAACCUUUACUAUAGCUUGACACUGAACAUUGAGCCUUGAUGUGUAGGAUAGGUGGGAGGCUUUGAAGCGUGGACGCCAGUCUGCGUGGAGCCAACCUUGAAAUACCACCCUUUAAUGUUUGAUGUUCUAACGUUGGCCCCUGACCGGGGUUGCGGACAGUGUCUGGUGGGUAGUUUGACUGGGGCGGUCUCCUCCCAAAGCGUAACGGAGGAGCACGAAGGUUAGCUAAUCCUGGUCGGACAUCAGGAGGUUAGUGCAAUGGCAUAAGCUAGCUUGACUGCGAGCGUGACGGCGCGAGCAGGUGCGAAAGCAGGUCAUAGUGAUCCGGUGGUUCUGAAUGGAAGGGCCAUCGCUCAACGGAUAAAAGGUACUCCGGGGAUAACAGGCUGAUACCGCCCAAGAGUUCAUAUCGACGGCGGUGUUUGGCACCUCGAUGUCGGCUCAUCACAUCCUGGGGCUGAAGUAGGUCCCAAGGGUAUGGCUGUUCGCCAUUUAAAGUGGUACGCGAGCUGGGUUUAGAACGUCGUGAGACAGUUCGGUCCCUAUCUGCCGUGGGCGCUGGAGAAUUGAGGGGGGCUGCUCCUAGUACGAGAGGACCGGAGUGGACGCAUCACUGGUGUUCGGGUUGUCAUGCCAAUGGCACUGCCCGGUAGCUAAAUGCGGAAGAGAUAAGUGCUGAAAGCAUCUAAGCACGAAACUUGCCCCGAGAUGAGUUCUCCCUGAGACUUUAAGUCUCCUGAAGGAACGUUAAAGACGAUGACGUUGAUAGGCCGGGUGUGUAAGCGCAGCGAUGCGUUGAGCUAACCGGUACUAAUGAACCGUGAGGCUUAACCUUACAACGCCGAAG